GACAGAGGUGCCAAGCGUUAGGCGGAAUCACUGGGCUUAAAGCGUGUGUAGGCGGAUCGUUAAGUACCUUGUGAAAUCCCACGGCUCAACCGUGGAACUGCUCGGUAUACUGGCGGUCUUGAGCCACCUAGGGGCAACUGGAACCAGCGGUGGAGCGGUGAAAUGCGUAGAUAUCGCUUGGAACGCCAACGGUGAAAACAGGUUGCUGGGGGUGUGCUGACGCUGAGACACGAAAGCCAGGGGAGCGAACGGG
Molecule: ribosomal RNA, 253 nt
Filed under: uncultured bacterium
Lineage: Bacteria
Description: partial 16S ribosomal RNA
Rfam family: Bacterial small subunit ribosomal RNA
Source: RNAcentral